RNAcentral lists this unclassified non-coding RNA (162 nucleotides) under soil metagenome. Its description in RNAcentral is "partial internal transcribed spacer 1". The record is from RNAcentral.
GUGAAUAUAGCGCAUCUCUUCGGAGAGCGUGACCUCCACUUUCAACUCUGUGCAUUUUUUUGGCGAGGGAACGAGACGAAGCGACGCAAGUUGCAGACUCUCGCCUCUUGCGGCUCAUUUUAAACACUAGUUAAAGUAUGUAACGAAAUAUCGAAACAAAAG